AUUGAACGCUGACGGCAUGCCUUACACAUGCAAGUCGAACGGCAGCACGGGAGCAAUCCUGGUGGCGAGUGGCGAACGGGUGAGUAAUAUAUCGGAACGUGCCCAGUCGUGGGGAUAACGUAGCGAAAGCUACGCUAAUACCGCAUACGAUCUAUGGAUGAAAGCGGGGGAUCGCAAGACCUCGCGCGAUUGGAGCGGCCGAUAUCAGAUUAGGUAGUUGGUGAGGUAAAGGCUCACCAAGCCGACGAUCUGUAGCUGGUCUGAGAGGACGACCAGCCACACUGGGACUGAGACACGGCCCAGACUCCUACGGGAGGCAGCAGUGGGGAAUUUUGGACAAUGGGCGCAAGCCUGAUCCAGCAAUGCCGCGUGCAGGAUGAAGGCCUUCGGUUGG
Molecule: ribosomal RNA, 394 nt
Filed under: uncultured bacterium
Lineage: Bacteria
Description: bacterial SSU rRNA
Rfam family: Bacterial small subunit ribosomal RNA
Source: RNAcentral